ACCCCUGACAAGUGAGAAGCUUAGAACUGUUGGAAAGCAGGUUACUGUAAAUGGCGGAAACCUGAAAUUAAAACAGUAAAUCUGGAAAUUCUCAAAAUCUGGAAAUUGUGGUGACACACUUCAAAUCUCCAAGAAAGAGAAAAUAAAACAACGGCAUGAACGAUGGCUUCAGAAAAUUGAGAUGAUCAAACUGGCAGAACAGAAGAAGAAAGC
Molecule: long non-coding RNA, 213 nt
Organism: Rhincodon typus (whale shark)
Lineage: Eukaryota; Metazoa; Chordata; Chondrichthyes; Orectolobiformes; Rhincodontidae
Exons: 3
Source: RefSeq, a predicted model, not a curated record